This 497-nucleotide ribosomal RNA is filed under the name uncultured bacterium. RNAcentral describes it as "partial 16S ribosomal RNA". It matches the Rfam family "Bacterial small subunit ribosomal RNA", at positions 28 to 507 of the family's 1533-position model. The record is from RNAcentral.
GAUGAACGCUGGCGGCGUGCCUAAUACAUGCAAGUCGAGCGAACGGACGAGAAGCUUGCUUCUCGGAUGUUAGCGGCGGACGGGUGAGUAACACGUGUAUAACCUACCUAUAAGACUGGUAUAACUUCGGGAAACCGGAGCUAAUACCGGAUAAUAUUUUGAACCGCAUGGUUCAAAAGUGAAAGACGGUCUUGCUGUCACUUAUAGAUGGAUCCGCGCUGCAUGAGCUAGUUGGUAAGGUAACGGCUUACCAAGGCAACGAUGCAUAGCCGACCUGAGAGAGUGAUAGGCCACACUGGAGCUGAGCCACGGUCCAGACUCCUAAGGGAGGCAGCAGUAGGGAAUCUUACGCAAUAGGCGAAAGCCUGACGGAGCAACGCCGCGUGAGUGAUGAAGGUGUUCGGAUCGUAAAACUCUGUUAUUAGGGAAGAACAUAUGUGUAAGUAACUGUGCACAUCUUGACGGUACCUAAUCAGAAAGCCACGGCUAACUACGUG